Molecule: long non-coding RNA, 533 nt
Organism: Antechinus flavipes (yellow-footed antechinus)
Lineage: Eukaryota; Metazoa; Chordata; Mammalia; Dasyuromorphia; Dasyuridae
Exons: 2
Source: RefSeq, a predicted model, not a curated record
GAGACUUUAAGCGUGGGCGGGGCCCCAAGGGCGGGGGCGGGGCCCCAAGGGCGGGGGCGGGGCCUCGCCCGCUGAUUGUAACCCCGCCCCUUCCCCCCUAGCCCGGGACCGGAGGAGCUCGGCGGAAGGGAGCGACGCUUACGUGGAUAGAGAGAAGAGUCCCGGAUUGCCAGAGGCUGGAGCCUCCGCGGGGGCCCUCCCCUGGAAACGUCAAAUGAGCUGGGGGAGGGGCCCCGGUCUUCCCUGGCCUGCAAAGAUCCCGGGACUUAGAAUCGGUAGGGACAUUAGCGGUCACCCAGUCCAACCCCAUCGCGUCAACUGAGCAUCUGUGUUAACCUGUCCCUGACUAAGCAGCUGUAUCUGAAUGAAAGGCAGUGAGCUGCAAAGCUGAGAGUGGCUCUGGAGCCAAGAAGCCCUGGAUUCAAAUCCACCUCGUGUCCUAGGCUAGCAUGAGAGACCUACGACAAGUUACUUGACUUGCCUGUGGUUUUCUUUCUGUGGCUGUGAAAAGAAUAAAAUUUAAAAGUUCUUAA